Nelumbo nucifera (sacred lotus) is the source of this 3003-nucleotide non-coding RNA. NCBI's taxonomy places the organism in Eukaryota, Viridiplantae, Streptophyta, Magnoliopsida, Proteales, Nelumbonaceae. The record is from RefSeq and is a predicted model, not a curated record.
UGUGUCUCAAAGUACAAUUCCAAGUUUGACAUUGUAGAUGUGUUUUCUGAUAUGCUUCUUGUUUGCUAUUAUUGUUAUGUUCCUAAUCGAUCAUCAACAUGACUGUAGAGAUUUCUUCCUCCUCUGCCUCUUGAUGUUGUUAGACUAAUCAACAAAAUUGAGCUAUUACCUCCUCUGUUAAGUGAAUUUCUAAGUAGUGCCUGAUAAUCAGAAAUGUGGUCAUGGCUUCUAUACUUCCUUAGGCUUUCUCCUUCUCCCUUCUCUUUUCUCUUGUUUUCUCUUUUGCCCCACCUAGACUUCUGCUCUGGCUCCAAUCGCAAAGAUGGGAAUUUGCUUCUGAUAGAACCCAGAUCCCGACCAAGAUACUUGGUGUUAUCGUCCUGGCUGCCACUAACAGGCCGGACGUCCUUGAUGCCACAUUGCUAAGGCCUGGCAGGUUCGAUCGGCAGGUCACAGUCGACUGGUCUGAUGUGGCCAGUAGAGUCAAGAUACUCUAGGUUAGCUCAAUUAACUCUGAUCAAACGCUUUUUGCCUUUUUCCAUGCUCUUCAAACCUUUCUUCUUAUUAGAAAUUUGUGAAUAUGUGAGUUGAUUGGACUGGUGUACGAGAAUAUGUGGGUUGAAAACUGAGCCUUCUGAACAACUACAAUAUAUUGAACUGAAAAUGAUGUUGAAAAGCAACAAUCAUAACUGCCCAAUCCAGGGUCAGUGACAGUGAAAUCUUUUCUUUUCUUUUUCUUUUGUUUUUGGUGAUAAAAAAAGGGAAAAGAGGGUUACAAGAGAGUCUUCUACCAACAAAGGGAAAUGAGUAGGAAGCAUGUUUGAGAUUGCAACUAUAGAGGUUCGUUGGUAGCAGAUCUGGACUCCAUAUGGACAAGUCUUAAUCACCACACAAGUGACAUAUGUUCAAGGUGGUAUCAUUGAGAACAAUAAUGGUGGUAGGGGGUGUAGAUGGGUUCUUCACUUUGGUCUAUGCUUAAUUCUUGGAUGUGUCCUGUUGAUGCAUUCAACCUAGACCUACCAAACAUAUAUAAACAAAGAAAAAAAAAUCAAAGAUCUGGUGCCGAACAAGCAAACUUCUGGUGAUGAGUCUAUAGCGGUAUAUGUGUGCAUGGCAUACAAAUUAAGGCUCAGUUUGGAAGGAGUACAAAUGUGUAUCAGAUAUGUCUGGCCUUCUAAAGCUUUUAGAAUGAUGUGGGUUGCAAAGGCACAAGUCUGUGAAUUUUGAGGUACUUAUAUCAGAUAUAGUGAAAUAAAAUUGUAAUGUGCAACUUGCUACUUAUUAGGUCAAUAUGAUUUAUGGUUUUUGUUCGUUUUGAGUUCUAAUCAUUUGUUUACUUCUGAGACAAUAUUUUUAAGUCUAUUUUCUUGAGAACUCUAUGGUUUCAAUCCAUCUUGAACUGAUUGUAUUUACAUGGCUAAUGUGGCUUUUUCUUGGAUCAAUGCAAACCCAACCUACCCGGUAUGUGGUUACUUCAGCCCUCAUAUGAAAUGCAGCAUCUGCUGCUGAUAGAGGGUAAAUUAUCUUCUGGAGAUCUUGAUAUUACUGCUUCUACCCAGUUUCUACCCAAUGAAAGUGUUCUGUCAAAUUGGAAAGUAGAAAAUCAGUACUACUACAAAAGCAUGGCAUCAGUGCAGCUUUUGCGGCAGGUUUGCCUUCAUUUUCAUAAAGAUUUCAGUCUAGAACAGGUCAAUAGGUCAGCCUCUUUCCUCAACCAUCUCGUUUUAGUACAACAGGAACAACGGUCUGUUGCAUAUGGAUUUUCUCGGCAUCUAGAAAGAUUGAGGAAAUGCAUGUUGUCUUUGAAAGAUUUAGAUUCAAAGUCAGCUGUUGUAGAUCAUGAAACUGGUUGUGACUUGGUCACCCCAAAUCAACAUGCCAUAAAUAAGUGCAUGUGGCAGCAAAAGCUACUGUUUGAUAACCUUUGUUCCAUGGCCCAUGAGGCACAUUUAUUGCUGAGAACAGUUGUGAGUACACAUUCAAAUACUUGUCCAAGUGUCAAGGUCACAGCCAACAAAGUUCUUCUUUUCAUUGAGAAGUUUAUUCCAGAUUUUCAGAAGUCAUGCCAGAAUAUGAUCCAGUUAUUAAGAUCUCUAUCAUCCCUCGUGGGCAAGUUGGUGGGCUUACAUUUUUUGCUCCAAGUGGAGAGUGGCUUGAGUCUGGGUUAUACAGCAGAAGCUACCUGGAGAACCAAAUGGCUGUAGCACUUGGUGGAAAGUUUGUCAUAGACCCAUCUUUCUUAUCAUUCCAUUAAAUCAAAGGAAGAGUUGGUUUGUGAAUCUUAGUGCAAUAAAUAACCUGUGGAGAUCAUCAUCAUCUGCAUUUGGUAAAGAAUUCAUAAACAGACAUUCAGAUGAUUCCUAACUAAAUAAUCCACUGCUGAACCAAGUCAAUGAACCAUAUGGUAAAUUGUCAAGAAAUAACAUUCAAUGUAGCUCUACAAGUUAGAGGUGGUGAUUUUGUAACCAUUCUGAUUCCAAUUCCACCUGUCAACCAAAUGGACCCUUAAAGACAUCCAUCUUCACUUGUUCUUUGGAAAUGACAAAUGGUCCAUGGGUGGAGGGAGUUAGCUUAGCCUUAGUUUUUAAUGGAAGAUGGAGGAGGAAGAUUCCCACUAUGCUAGAGCAAUCUCCAAGGGGCUUUACCCAAUGUUGGUCCUUGCUAUUUGGGGUCUGGGAAGGACACGACUGGAUGAAGAAAAGGAUCCAUUGCCCUGAAUUUGUUAUAGAGCAACCUCUGUUCUAAUAAAAAGAUGAAUAAUUUCUAUUCUCUUUAAAGAUUGAAGAUGAAAAUCCUGUUGAAAAGGUACUUGUUAUGACAGUGGAACCUGGAUUUGGUGGUCAAACGUUCAUGCCAGAAAUGAUGGAUAAGGUGCGUGCAUUGGAAAGUCUCUCACACAUGGUUGUGUAGGUGGAUGGUUGCUUGGGACCUUCAACCAUUGAUGUGGCAGCUUCAGCAGGGGCAAACUGUAUUGUGGCAGGAAGUUCAGUUUUUGGAGCUGCG